GAUGAACGCUGGCGGCGUGCCUAAUACAUGCAAGUCGAGCGAACGGACGAGAAGCUUGCUUCUCUGAUGUUAGCGGCGGACGGGUGAGUAACACGUGGAUAACCUACCUAUAAGACUGGGAUAACUUCGGGAAACCGGAGCUAAUACCGAAUAAUAUUUUGAACCGCAUGGUUCAAAAGUGAAAGACGGUCUUGCUGUCACUUAUAGAUGGAUCCGCGCUGCAUUAGCUAGUUGGUAAGGUAACGGCUUACCAAGGCAACGAUGCAUAGCCGACCUGAGAGGGUGAUCGGCCACACUGGAACUGAGACACGGUCCAGACUCCUACGGGAGGCAGCAGUAGGGAAUCUUCCGCAAUGGGCGAAAGCCUGACGGAGCAACGCCGCGUGAGUGAUGAAGGUCUUCGGAUCGUAAAACUCUGUUAUUAGGGAAGAACAUAUGUGUAAGUAACUGUGCACAUCUUGACGGUACCUAAUCAGAAAGCCACGGCUAACUACGUGCCAGCAGCCGCGGUAAUACGUAGGUGGCAAGCGUUAUCCGGAAUUAUUGGGCGUAAAGCGCGCGUAGGCGGUUUUUUAAGUCUGAUGUGAAAGCCCACGGCUCAACCGUGGAGGGUCAUUGGAAACUGGAAAACUUGAGUGCAGAAGAGGAAAGUGGAAUUCCAUGUGUAGCGGUGAAAUGCGCAGAGAUAUGGAGGAACACCAGUGGCGAAGGCGACUUUCUGGUCUGUAACUGACGCUGAUGUGCGAAAGCGUGGGGAUCAAACAGGAUUAGAUACCCUGGUAGUCCACGCCGUAAACGAUGAGUGCUAAGUGUUAGGGGGUUUCCGCCCCUUAGUGCUGCAGCUAACGCAUUAAGCACUCCGCCUGGGGAGUACGACCGCAAGGUUGAAACUCAAAGGAAUUGACGGGGACCCGCACAGGCGGUGGAGCAUGUGGUUUAAUUCGAAGCAACGCGAAGAACCUUACCAAAUCUUGACAUCCUUUGACAACUCUAGAGAUAGAGCCUUCCCCUUCGGGGGACAAAGUGACAGGUGGUGCAUGGUUGUCGUCAGCUCGUGUCGUGAGAUGUUGGGUUAAGUCCCGCAACGAGCGCAACCCUUAAGCUUAGUUGCCAUCAUUAAGUUGGGCACUCUAAGUUGACUGCCGGUGACAAACCGGAGGAAGGUGGGGAUGACGUCAAAUCAUCAUGCCCCUUAUGAUUUGGGCUACACACGUGCUACAAUGGACAAUACAAAGGGCAGCGAAACCGCGAGGUCAAGCAAAUCCCAUAAAGUUGUUCUCAGUUCGGAUUGUAGUCUGCAACUCGACUACAUGAAGCUGGAAUCGCUAGUAAUCGUAGAUCAGCAUGCUACGGUGAAUACGUUCCCGGGUCU
RNAcentral lists this ribosomal RNA (1372 nucleotides) under uncultured bacterium. RNAcentral's name for it is "bacterial SSU rRNA". It matches the Rfam family "Bacterial small subunit ribosomal RNA", at positions 28 to 1381 of the family's 1533-position model. The record is from RNAcentral.